This 1372-nucleotide ribosomal RNA is filed under the name uncultured bacterium. Its description in RNAcentral is "bacterial SSU rRNA". It matches the Rfam family "Bacterial small subunit ribosomal RNA", at positions 28 to 1381 of the family's 1533-position model. The record is from RNAcentral.
GAUGAACGCUGGCGGCGUGCCUAAUACAUGCAAGUCGAGCGAACGGACGAGAAGCUUGCUUCUCUGAUGUUAGCGGCGGACGGGUGAGUAACACGUGGAUAACCUACCUAUAAGACUGGGAUAACUUCGGGAAACCGGAGCUAAUACCGGAUAAUAUUUUGAACCGCAUGGUUCAAAAGUGAAAGACGGUCUUGCUGUCACUUAUAGAUGGAUCCGCGCUGCAUUAGCUAGUUGGUAAGGUAACGGCUUACCAAGGCAACGAUGCAUAGCCGACCUGAGGGGGUGAUCGGCCACACUGGAACUGAGACACGGUCCAGACUCCUACGGGAGGCAGCAGUAGGGAAUCUUCCGCAAUGGGCGAAAGCCUGACGGAGCAACGCCGCGUGAGUGAUGAAGGUCUUCGGAUCGUAAAACUCUGUUAUUAGGGAAGAACAUAUGUGUAAGUAACUGUGCACAUCUUGACGGUACCUAAUCAGAAAGCCACGGCUAACUACGUGCCAGCAGCCGCGGUAAUACGUAGGUGGCAAGCGUUAUCCGGAAUUAUUGGGCGUAAAGCGCGCGUAGGCGGUUUUUUAAGUCUGAUGUGAAAGCCCACGGCUCAACCGUGGAGGGUCAUUGGAAACUGGAAAACUUGAGUGCAGAAGAGGAAAGUGGAAUUCCAUGUGUAGCGGUGAAAUGCGCAGAGAUAUGGAGGAACACCAGUGGCGAAGGCGACUUUCUGGUCUGUAACUGACGCUGAUGUGCGAAAGCGUGGGGAUCAAACAGGAUUAGAUACCCUGGUAGUCCACGCCGUAAACGAUGAGUGCUAAGUGUUAGGGGGUUUCCGCCCCUUAGUGCUGCAGCUAACGCAUUAAGCACUCCGCCUGGGGAGUACGACCGCAAGGUUGAAACUCAAAGGAAUUGACGGGGACCUGCACAAGCGGUGGAGCAUGUGGUUUAAUUCGAAGCAACGCGAAGAACCUUACCAAAUCUUGACAUCCUUUGACAACUCUAGAGAUAGAGCCUUCCCCUUCGGGGGACAAAGUGACAGGUGGUGCAUGGUUGUCGUCAGCUCGUGUCGUGAGAUGUUGGGUUAAGUCCCGCAACGAGCGCAACCCUUAAGCUUAGUUGCCAUCAUUAAGUUGGGCACUCUAAGUUGACUGCCGGUGACAAACCGGAGGAAGGUGGGGAUGACGUCAAAUCAUCAUGCCCCUUAUGAUUUGGGCUACACACGUGCUACAAUGGACAAUACAAAGGGCAGCGAAACCGCGAGGUCAAGCAAAUCCCAUAAAGUUGUUCUCAGUUCGGAUUGUAGUCUGCAACUCGACUACAUGAAGCUGGAAUCGCUAGUAAUCGUAGAUCAGCAUGCUACGGUGAAUACGUUCCCGGGUCU